UUUUUUUUCUUUUUUUUUUUUUUUUUUUUCGGUCUUUUUAGGGCCUUACCUGUGGCAUAUGGAGAUUCCCAGGCUAGGGGGUAAAAUCAGAGCUAUAGCUGCCAGCCUAUACCACAGCCACAGCAAUGCUGAAUAUGAGCCAUGUCUGUGACCUACACCACAGCUCAUGGCAAUGCCAGAUCCUUAACCCACUGAGCAGGGCCAGGGAUCAAACCUGCACCCUCAUGGAUACUAGCUGGGUUCGUUACCACUGAGCCACAACAGGAACUCCAGUUCAGCUAAUUAUUAAAUAAUAUGUGAAAACAAAUCACUGUCUCAAACUUUUUGGUCACAGGACUCUUUUACACUCUUAAAAGUUAUUAAGGACCCCAAACAACUUGUUUAUAUGUGUUAUACCUAGCAAUACUUAUUAUGUUAGAAAUUAAAACCGAAGUUUUUAAAUGUUUUUAGUCAUUAAAAUAAUAAGCCCAUUAUAUGUUGACAUAAAUAACAUAUUUUUGAAUAAUAACUAUAUUUUUAAAAAUAUAGGAUGUUCCUGUUGUGGCUCAGCAGGUUACGAACAUGACUAGUAUCCAUGAGGAUGUGGGUUUGAUCCCUGGCCUUACUCAGUCGGUUAAGGAUCUAACAUUGCCAUGAGCUGUGGUGUAGGUCACAUAUGUGGCUUAGAUCCUGUAUUGCUGUGGUGUAGUGUAGGCUAGCAGCUGCAGCUCUGAUUAAAUCCCUAACCCAGGAACUUCUAUAUGCCACAGCUUGGACCCUAAAAAGCAAAUAUAUAUAUAUAUAUAAAUGGGAGUUCCCUAAUGGCACAGUGGGUUAAGGAUCCAGCAUUGUCACUGCAGUAGCUCAGGUUUCACCUGUGGUGCAGGUUUGAUCCCUGGUCCCAGAACUUCUACAUUUUCAUGGGCGUGGCUGAAGAAAAAAUAUAUAUGUUUAUAUAUAUAUAUACUGUAUGGUUUCACAUUCUUAUAAAUUUCUUAAUGUCUAGCUUAUAGAAAACAGAUGAUUCUCCUAUCUUUCCUUAAUAAAUUUGUUUCAAUAUCACUCAUUAUAUUGUCUCUGGAAAAUUUCACUCUACACUCAGUGAAUGAAAAUAAUAAAGGCAAGUAACAGCUUAUUAUUUUCAGGAAAAAAGUUUUGACCUUAGAGAUCACUGUAAAGGAUUUUAAGGAAUCCCUGGAAUCCAUGGACCAUACUUUGAGAACCUCUGUUUUAAACCAUACAAAUGUUAGCUCCUUAGGCAAUCUACAGACUAGACCAGUCUUAUAAAUGUGAGUAUUUUUUCUUCAUUUUUCAGGAGCACAGAGUAAGUUAGAGGAAUUCAGGGUCAUAAUGGAAUGCAACUACUUUCUGCUUUAGAAAUCAGUCAACCUAUCCAAUAUUGUUUUUCAGCCUGCUGUACAAGAUGGUUCCUGUCACAUGAAUAUAUAAUAUCACUAAAAUAGGUUUGUAUCCCCUGUACAAACUAAUAUUAAGACUCCAAUAAAAUUUGUAGUUAAAAUUCUUACUUGCCUGCCCUUGGGCAGUAAAUAAAUAUAUAUAUAUAGAGAGAGAGAGAGAGAGACUUGCACUGUGGUAUAAAUAUAUUCUUUGCCAUCUUCAGUAGUUCCCAAAUCAAUUUGAUGAUCAACUGUCUCAGAAUUAUCUGGGGGGAGAUUUUAAAAAUACAUAUUCCUGGAUCAAGAGAUAAGCUGUUUAGGAGUUCCCACUGUGGCUCAGAAGUAGCAAACCUGACUAGGAUCCAUGAGGUUGCAGGUUUGAUCCCUGGCCUUGUUUAAUGGGUUAAGGAUCCGGCGUUUCUUUGAGCGGUGGUGUAGGUCACAGAUGCAGCUCAGCUCCCAUGUUAGUGUGGCUGUGGCAUAGGCUGUCAGCUGCAGCUCCGAUUCAACCCCUAGCCUGGGAACUUCCAUAUGCCACCAGUGUGGCCCUAAAAAUAAAAAUUAAAAAAAAAAAAAGAUAUGCUGUUAAAAUGGAACAGGGUGGUCCUCAGGAGUUUGGAUUUUUAAAAAGUUACCCAGGUACUCUCAUAUAUUGAUGGGUUUGGGAAUGAAUACAAAGUACAUGUAACAAAGUAAUGGACUUGGUCUCUGCCCCUAGUACCAUCACGCAUAAAAUAUCUAUUUCAUCUUCAGUAUUUCAAAAGUAUAUUCUUGUUCAAAGAUUUGUGUUAUCAAGAGACAGAGUACGUAUUAAAUUUCAUUCAGUUGUAGAAAUUGAUAUACUUAUUUCAAACAUUUUAUAGUUCAUCUGCCUUUAUCACAUAAAAAUAACGUAGGAUGUUAUCACAGCAGUUUGCAGCGCAUCACACUGCUGUAAGAAGCAAGACAUCUUUUGCAACAAGCAAAGUGACUACAAAAAGUGUUAUUUUAUAGAGCUUUGAUUUAAUUUCUUUAAAAUGAGAUGUCCCAUGUUUUAUUACACUUACUAGGAUUCUGCAGAUUAGCUUAUAGUAUUUCAAAACCUAUGCAGUCGUCCAUCACAAAUUUCUUUUGAGGAUAUAUUAUAUUCAAGCAGCUAUUGAGAGACUUAUGAUCCAUAGUUGCUGUUGCAAUCAGUGUUCUUUGCUAAUAUUAUAGCCAGAAUUACAUUCAAGAAAAAAAUUGAAAAACAAGCUUAAUGUUUCCUUCCUUCUUACCUCAAAAGGAAAAAGGAAAUAGCUAAAUCAGCCAAAUAUGAUGAUUAAUAAACAUUGAUAUGUAUUCCUCUUGAUUUUAUGAUUGAAAAUAACUUCAAAAUUACAGAAUCCCUGCUCAGAUGCUGAUUUCUAAGUACCUUAACCCAUAAGAAGGAAUCAGAGCUUUUUGGAGAAAUGGCUGAUUUCAGGGCUAGGGCAGAAGGUACAAGAUGAUCUGGAACAUAUUGUUGUGCCAGAAAUAAAAAGUGCUCAGAAAAUAAAAUGGGACAUUCAACAGGAGCCAGCUUGGAGGGUCUCUCAAAGGGCAAAUCUGGAAUAACUAGAGUUUCAAAAUAAGAACCGUAAUGAAUUAUGAUCCAUUGAAUAAGAAUCCAUUAGGUAUUCUAAUGAGAGAGAUUUGGGAGAAAAGGAAACGCUGUUCUCUAAAGAGAAUGCCCGCUGAUAAACACAGAGAGAGUGGUAUAUGGAAAAUCACCAUUUUGUAACUAUCAUAGAAAAAAUUGGCUUGAGAAAUAUCAUCAAUGGAUUCUAAAUUUAGAUGAGAAAAUUUGAUGAGAAGCAGUGUACUUUCAUAUCUUCAAUGUAUCUCUCCACUGAUUGCAUAUUUGCUACAAGGGGAAAAGGAUAGCUACGCUGUGGAGAAACUAAACAACACUUUGAUCAAUGACCAUAUACCAUAUGCCUUCUGUUGUGAUACCUUGAGAAGAACAUAACCUCUCUCAAAUCUAAUCAUAAGGAAACAUACCAAACCCAUAUUGAGGAACAUUCUAUUAAAUAGCUGUCCUAGCAAUUCCCUUGUGGUGCAGUAGGUUAAGGAUCAGGUGUUGUCACUGCAGGGGUUCAGAUCACUGCUGUGGCCAGGGUUUGAUCCCUGGCCUGAGAACAUCCAUGUGCCACAGGGAUAGCCAAAAAAAAAAAUGUCCUGAAAGACCACCACCACCAACAAAAUAUGUUGCACACUGGAGUUCCCUGGUAAUAUAUAGGUUAAGGAUUCAGCAUUGUCACUGCAUUAUCAUUUCUAUGGUUUGAGUUAAGGGUCAGGAACUUCCAUGUGCUGGGGGUGUGGGGAAAAAGAAUGCUGAAGAACUGUUGCAUAUCAAAAGGGAUUAAAGAGACUUGACAAGUAAAACUGAUAUAUUAUCUAAUCUGGAACUUGGACCUGAGUGAGGGAAAUGCUAUGAAAGAUUUAUUGGAAUAGUUGACAAAAUUGAAAUAUGGACCAUAGAUUAGAAAAAAGUAGUUCCCCAUAUGUGAUGAUUACAUAAAGGAAUAUAUUUUUUGUAGUAAAUACACACUGAGAUAUUAAGAGCUAAAGAGGUAUAAAGUAUGUACUCUAUUCUCAAGUGGUUCAGAAAAAAUAAAUCAAAACAUCCAGAGAGAGAAUGCAAAUGCAGCAAAAUGUAAAAGUUGGUGAACCUGAAUAAAUGAUAUUCAGAAGCUCUCUAUCCUAUUCUUGCAUUUUUUUCUAUGAGUUUUAACUGUUUUUAAAUGAAAAAAGUUAAGAACUCUCCAAUUUCUCACUCUUAGACUUCAUUCAUCAUGAACCUUUUAUUUAGUUAUUCCAAGUGGUAAUUAUCUUUUAUAAUUUUAGCUGAUUAUAUACUACCAAUAAGAAGGAAAGCAGCUAACUUCACAAAAG
RNAcentral lists this long non-coding RNA (4271 nucleotides) under Sus scrofa (pig). RNAcentral's name for it is "lncRNA (ENSSSCG00000055362.1)". Lineage: Eukaryota; Metazoa; Chordata; Mammalia; Artiodactyla; Suidae. The record is from RNAcentral.